AUACAAGCAGAAAUCCAUUGCUGGAAUAUUCGAGCAUAUUUGUUCCGAAUGCUCCCUCCCACAACGUUAGUAUGAGAGCAUUUAUUAACAUUCAAGGUGAAAGAACAAGGAAGUGUGUGCGUGCUAGCUUAUUAUUGUAGGUGAUCUCUCCGCGUAAUAGCGAUUACUAUCUGCCAUGUUAAUAAGCUCAAGGAUUCUAGUUCAAUCAUUAGAUUGUUUCAGACCGACCAGAAGUGCCACUUGUGUUGUGGUCCGCCACAGAGUCCGCUAUCGAAAUGGAAUGGUGCCCAAAGUCACAGAGAAGCAUAAGCGGCCUCAAUUAGACCAUAAAUUAUUUUAAUAAACCUACAAAACACCAUAAAAAA
Molecule: long non-coding RNA, 365 nt
Organism: Bombyx mori (domestic silkworm)
Lineage: Eukaryota; Metazoa; Arthropoda; Insecta; Lepidoptera; Bombycidae
Exons: 3
Source: RefSeq, a predicted model, not a curated record